GACGAACGCUGGCGGCGUGCUUAACACAUGCCAGUCGAACGGUGAAGCGCCUUCCUUUUUGGUGGGUGUGGAUGAGUGGCGAACGGGUGAGUAACACGUGAGUAACCUGCCCCCUUCUUCUGGAUAACCGCAUGAAAGUGUGGCUAAUACGGGAUAUUCUGGGUCUGUCGCAUGAUGGGUCUGGGAAAGAUAUUGUUUCGGUGGGGGAUGGGCUCGCGGCCUAUCAGCUUGUUGGUGGGGUGAUGGCCUACCAAGGCGGUGACGGGUAGCCGGCCUGAGAGGGUGGACGGUCACACUGGGACUGAGACACGGCCAAGACUCCUACGGGAGGCAGCAGUGGGGAAUAUUGAACAAUGGGCGCAAGCCUGAUGCAGCGACGCCGCGUGAGGGAUGGAGGCCUGCGGGUUGUGAACCUCUUUCGCCAGUGAAGCAGGCCUGCCUCGUUUGUGGGUGGGUUGACGGUAGCUGGAUAAGAAGCGCCGGCUAACUACGUG
RNAcentral lists this ribosomal RNA (494 nucleotides) under uncultured bacterium. Its description in RNAcentral is "partial 16S ribosomal RNA". It matches the Rfam family "Bacterial small subunit ribosomal RNA", at positions 28 to 507 of the family's 1533-position model. The record is from RNAcentral.